UAAUUCAUUGAGAGCUGCCAUUGUGGU
RNAcentral lists this small RNA (27 nucleotides) under Bombyx mori (domestic silkworm). RNAcentral describes it as "ovarian small RNA-19893". The record is from RNAcentral. Lineage: Eukaryota; Metazoa; Arthropoda; Insecta; Lepidoptera; Bombycidae.